AAGACUUUUGUGGCUGCUUAUUUCCUAUGCAGAAAUUGUGAAGCUACACGGGAAAGGAGAACUUGAACCUUUGCUGGCAGAAAUCAAAAAUAAAAAGGCAUAAAGCUAGCUUGCUGAGCAAAUUUUUGUUUAAAGAUUUCAAUGGCCUUGCAAUAUGACUCCGAACUUGCACAUUUGUAGCUUUAUGUUUCAUAUAAGAAUGCACUGGGUAAAUUGCUUCCAUGGCCACUACUUCAAGCCUUUUCACUUCCACUACUUUCUGUUGUUAUUGUGUUGCUGCAAACUUAUGAAAUUCAAGAAAGAAGACAAGCAGCUUUAGGAAACUGAGGCAUUUAUGUGGAGAUCAACUUUCUUAAAAAUAGUGUUCGACUGGAAUUAAUCAAAAAUAGAUAUAGGAUUUCAAUUUACAAUGCUCGCCAGCCAAUGAAACAGAGGUGCAUUUUUUGAAUGUUAUGUUAUUUUUUUUUACCCUUGAAGUAGUAUCAUUUGUCAUUUCUGUUGAUAUUACUAGCAGUAUUCUACCCAUAUUUCUUUAUGUUAAUUUUUAAAUGUUUGGAUUGGAACCAUAUACAACUUUCUUAAUCUCUCUAUUUUUCUUUGUUGCCAACCAUAAGCAAGAACAAGUGCCCUACCAGCUAUC
Humulus lupulus (European hop) is the source of this 640-nucleotide long non-coding RNA. RefSeq lists it as uncharacterized. Lineage: Eukaryota; Viridiplantae; Streptophyta; Magnoliopsida; Rosales; Cannabaceae. The record is from RefSeq and is a predicted model, not a curated record. The transcript is spliced from 3 exons.